CCUUGGUGUACUGGAAGAAUCAGAUC
Molecule: non-coding RNA, 26 nt
Filed under: Homo sapiens (human)
Lineage: Eukaryota; Metazoa; Chordata; Mammalia; Primates; Hominidae
Source: RNAcentral